UAGGGAAUCUUCGGCAAUGGACGAAAGUCUGACCGAGCAACGCCGCGUGAGUGAAGAAGGUUUUCGGAUCGUAAAACUUUGUUGUUAGAGAAGAACAAGGACGUUAGUAACUGAACGUCCCCUGACGGUAUCUAACCAGAAAGCCACGGCUAACUACGUGCCAGCAGCCGCGGUAAUACGUAGGUGGCAAGCGUUGUCCGGAUUUAUUGGGCGUAAAGCGAGCGCAGGCGGUUUCUUAAGUCUGAUGUGAAAGCCCCCGGCUCAACCGGGGAGGGUCAUUGGAAACUGGGAGACUUGAGUGCAGAAGAGGAGAGUGGAAUUCCAUGUGUAGCGGUCAAAUGCGUAGAUAUAUGGAGGAACACCAGUGGCGAAGGCGGCUCUCUGGUCUGUACCUGACGCUGAGGCUCGAAAGCGUGGGGAGCAAACAGG
This 429-nucleotide ribosomal RNA is filed under the name Gemmatimonadota bacterium. RNAcentral's name for it is "Gemmatimonadetes bacterium partial 16S ribosomal RNA". It matches the Rfam family "Bacterial small subunit ribosomal RNA", at positions 355 to 776 of the family's 1533-position model. The record is from RNAcentral. Lineage: Bacteria; Pseudomonadati; Gemmatimonadota.